This 123-nucleotide small RNA is filed under the name Caenorhabditis elegans. Its description in RNAcentral is "Unclassified non-coding RNA Y54E2A.15". The record is from RNAcentral. Lineage: Eukaryota; Metazoa; Nematoda; Chromadorea; Rhabditida; Rhabditidae.
UUGUGUGUGGAAUCAAUACGCAAAUCGAAACGGAUCAGGGUUGGUUCGGUGAUGACACGGGUCUCAACAACGCGGAUUUGUGGUGCUGUGACUUCUAACUUGCAUUUAUUGUGUGUGUGUGUG